Molecule: ribosomal RNA, 406 nt
Filed under: uncultured bacterium
Lineage: Bacteria
Description: partial 16S ribosomal RNA
Rfam family: Bacterial small subunit ribosomal RNA
Source: RNAcentral
AUUGAACGCUGGCGGCAGGCCUAACACAUGCAAGUCGGGCGAACGGCGGACUGGUGAGUAAUGUAUGGGGAUCUGCCUGAUGGAGGGGGAUCACUACUGGAAACGGUAGCUAAUACCGCAUAACAUCAGAUGAACCCAUAUGGGAUUAGCUUGUAGGUAUGGUAACGGCUUACCGAGGCGACGAUCCCUAGCUGGUCUGAGAGGAUGAUCAGCCACACUGGGACUGAGACACGGCCCAGACGCCUACGUGAGGCAGCAGUGGGGAAUAUUGCACAAUGGGCGCAAGCCUGAUGCAGCAAUGCCGCGUGUAUGAAGAAGGCCUUCGGGUUGUAAAGUACUUUCAGUCGGGAGGCGUUACCGACAGAAGAAGCACCGGCUAACUCCGUGCCAGCAGCCGCGGUAAUAC